Molecule: non-coding RNA, 1533 nt
Organism: Lactuca sativa (garden lettuce)
Lineage: Eukaryota; Viridiplantae; Streptophyta; Magnoliopsida; Asterales; Asteraceae
Source: RefSeq, a predicted model, not a curated record
AACAUCAUCAUAAUUGGGAAGCAUUGUAGAUAGCCCAACCAACCGAAUAUGUUCCUUUGUGGUCUCAAUUUGUCUAACAGUUCUUGCCACAAUACUCUCGAGAACAGGUCUUCUGUUAUCUUGCAGAAGAUGAAUUUCAUCAAUAAUUAUACCUUUAUUUCUCAAAAAUAUAUAAUUUUAAAAAGUAUGUAUUUUGAAAAAGAAAGCUAUUUUGAGGGGAUUUAGGGUUUGGAUUUUGUUGAUUUUUUCCGUUGAAUCAGAUAUGGAGAGAAUGCAGAAGAAACUGCAGCAUCAGCUGAUUGGAAAUGCCCCAAAUGUAGAGGAAUCUGUAAUUGCAGCUUUUGCAUGUAAGUGUUGUUGUCGAUCUGAUAUAUUGGUACAUAUCUCCGUUUUCAAGAUCUAAUUCCCCUAAAAAAAGUUUCAAAUUUGACUUUACCAGAUUUGGUACUUUUCAAAUUAUAAAUUGAAUAACCUAUGAACUUUUCAAUACCUUUUCCAAACAAACAAGUACCACAGAUAACAUAUUGUUUGUAUUAUUUUGGCAACAACAUUCAUUCCAAUUUUCCAAUCAACAAGUACCCUUUUAACCUUACACGUCAAAGGUAAACCUUUCAUCUUUUUAUUAAUUUUAGUUUGCCUAAAGUCCAAAUAACAAACAAGGGUAUUUUUGUAAUCUAACAGGAAAACGACACACCGGAUGUAGCGGUUACUAGACUAUUUGCAUCUGCAAAGAAAGAUACUUCUCAAUAUGGCGAUUAUGGAGCUUUCGCUAACUGCUUGCAACAGUUGCCACCUGAAGGACAAAUUCGGGCAACUACUGCUGAAGUCCAAACUCUGCUAGUUUAUAGGGGAUUGACUUAGUUCUUGCAGCACAACUUGGUGAUCAGUUUUUUUUCUCUCUCUCUCUCUCUCUCUCUCUCUCUCUCCCUCCCUCUCUCUCUCUCUCUCACACACACAUUCUGAAAAAUCUACUCGAUUAUAGAAUUUUUUCUAUUAUAUUUUGAUUCCUACCUUCUCUUUGAUUUCAAUAUUUUGGAUUUAGCAUCUUCUGUUGAGGUUAUUUUUACACUUUUUGCAUUCAAGUGUAUGUCUCCAUGAGGCAACACACGGGUUGGUGGAGUCUUUUUAAUUUGACAUGAAACCCAGAACCCAGAGUUACAUUUGGAACCUGCUAGCAGUAAAUCUCUUCCUGCAAAUCGUAACGGCUCAAUAACACAAAAAUUACGAGUUACCAACACUCAACAUGGCAAGUAAGCAAUCAUUAUGCGCAUCCAAAUAACUUACAAGUUGAACAACAAAGACAUGUUGGAAGAAAGACAUCCCUCGUCCAAAUCAUGGAUAUUUGAAUUUGUUGAUUUUGGAGGUGAAAUGAGACAUGAUAUAUGGUGCUAAUAAAGAAAGGUGCUUUAUGUUCUGAUACUAGCAUUGGUCAAGGGGGUACUACUACAUGGAAGGUGCUUCAAUACACACUUGCUUACAACAAUGUACACAAAUUAACUAAGGAAAUAGCAAUGUAGUACUAGGUUAUAUAGU